GGGGGGGGGGGGCCUCCAAGGGGACAGAGCCCCUCAGAGCUGCUGACCCCGGAGGCCUCAUGCUGGGCUUGUUCUGGGGUCAGGACCCCCUCCCAGCUCCCCUUGCCUUCUCCUGCUCCUGGAGAGCCUGCUGCCACGAGCUGGCCACGGUCUGAACUCGCAACGGCCGCCUCUGCAGCAGGCCCUCCCUGGCUUCACUGAAACCGGUCUUUCUUGCCUUAGAAAGUGACCAGAGAUACAGUUAAGACGCCUUCAAGGUCCCUUGUCCCUGAAAGGAGCAGAUCACAGUAGUGCCCAUUUGCAGUUUUCUCACUGGGCUUUUAAAGAGGCGGCACGGAGGGAAGAGGGCACGCCUUGACCUGCUGGGAUCUUGCUGGAAAGCAAAACGGAGGCUGAAGACAGCCGCCUACUUUCGUCCCGGUCUGAGACGUCUGCCCAAGCGAGGCCGGGCUGGCCAGCACGUACCCUGUGAGGGCCAGAGUCUUUCCCUUCCUCGGCCCGCUGUACCCAGCCCGUGGGGCCUCUGAGAGGCGCUUUCUGGGAGCAGGGCUGCCAGCAGGCCCGCAGAUUGGAGGUGCGGUGUCUCCAGCAAGGCCGCCACCCAGUGCUUUCCUGCUCAGGCAGGAAGCCAGGCCCAGACUCUCCCUCACGGCCCUCGCUGGCCUUUCUCUAGUGGCCGGGCAGGCGGCGAGGAGGGCUGGACUCUGGGAGGUCCAGAGAGAGCCUGUGUGAGAAAGUCUCCGUGAGCCGUCCCCAGGGGGAGAGAGCGGGAAGGGACUGCCCAGGUCCCUCAGCCCAAGGCUGGUUCUGCAGAGGAAAACUCAGAACUCCCGUUGCAACUCAGCGGUAAGAAUCCAUGAGGACGCGGGUUCGACCCCUGGCCCCGCUCAGUGGGUUAAGGAUCCGGUGUUGCUGUGAGCUGCAGUGUAGGUCACAGGUGCAGCCCAGAUCCGCCGUUGCUGUGGCCGUAGCUGUGGUGUAGGAUUCGACCCCUAGCCUGGGAACUUCCAUAUGCCGCAGAUGUGGCCCUAAAAAGCAAAAAGAAAAGAAACCUCAGAGCCCUCCAGGGGUUCCGUCCGUGGGGACAGGAAACAAGACGCCCUCCCCAGCUGCCUCUCCCUCUCCCCGCCUUCCCACCCCAGGAAAAGGGCCUCCGUCCACCUCGCUGCUCAAACGCAGACCUGGGAAUCUUGGUGCUGGCUACGUCCUGUUUCCCACCAGACCUGCCCUUCAGCCAGGGGCUGGCCCAGAAGCACCACAUCCACCGGCAGGCUCUGCGGUCCGGCUCACAGGAGAUCGCGGUGGGGGGAGAGGUCAGUGGAUUCACUCCGGCUCCCUGGCUUCCGGAGAGUCAGAACACGGGCCGGACCUCCAAGCUUGUCACUGUCCAACCCUCUCCUUUGGGGUUCCAGCAACGCCCCCCUGUCCUCGGCCCUUCAGACCUCCACAGGUAGGAAGAGGGACAAAUGCAGCUUCCUUCCAGCCCAAACACACAGGCAGUUUUCUCACUGGAGCUGCAAGAAUGGAUCGUAUGGGGGGAAAUAACAUAAAAAUCUAAGAGCCCUGCUUCCCAGGCUGGAAGACAGACCAGAUCUAUUCAUUCAGCGCGCAUUAUAACCCACUGCUUAAUUAAUAAACAGCCGCGCGCUCUCUGCA
This 1656-nucleotide long non-coding RNA is filed under the name Sus scrofa (pig). RNAcentral's name for it is "lncRNA (ENSSSCG00015014275.1)". Lineage: Eukaryota; Metazoa; Chordata; Mammalia; Artiodactyla; Suidae. The record is from RNAcentral.